UAACGAUACGAACGAGACUCUAGCCCACUAAUUAGCGUGGUAAUUCAACGCUUGCCACUAUGCUUCUUAGAGGGACAGGUGCUGCUUAAGCACACGAAAUUGAGCAAUAACAGGUCUGUGAUGCCCUUCGAUGUUCGAGGCUGCACGCGCGCUACAAUGGAGGGCACAGAAUGCACGGCGCUUCCUGUGAAGGAUGCGGAAUCGUGAAUUGCCUCCAUGACUGGGAUCGGGGAUUGAAAUUAUUCCUCGUGAACGAGGAAUUCCUAGUAAGCGCGAUUCAUUAUAUCGCGUUGAAUAAGUCCCUGCCCUUUGUACACACCGCCCGUCGCUACUACCGAUGAACGGUUUGGUGAGGUCUGUGAAUAGGUGUCGCUGGGCUGAAAGGCCCUGUUGUACUUCCUAGAAGCUGACCGAGCUUAGGCGUUUAGAGGAAGUAAAA
This 439-nucleotide ribosomal RNA is filed under the name Polymorphus sp. RNAcentral's name for it is "SSU rRNA". It matches the Rfam family "Eukaryotic small subunit ribosomal RNA", at positions 1323 to 1787 of the family's 1831-position model. Lineage: Eukaryota; Metazoa; Acanthocephala; Palaeacanthocephala; Polymorphida; Polymorphidae. The record is from RNAcentral.